RNAcentral lists this ribosomal RNA (400 nucleotides) under uncultured Paracoccaceae bacterium. RNAcentral's name for it is "bacterial SSU rRNA". It matches the Rfam family "Bacterial small subunit ribosomal RNA", at positions 18 to 446 of the family's 1533-position model. Lineage: Bacteria; Pseudomonadati; Pseudomonadota; Alphaproteobacteria; Rhodobacterales; Paracoccaceae. The record is from RNAcentral.
CCUGGCUCAGAUUGAACGCUGGCGGCAUGCUUUACACAUGCAAGUCGAACGAAGCCUUCGGGCUUAGUGGCGGACGGGUGAGUAACGCGUGGGAACGUGCCCUUUGGUUCGGAAUAGCCCCGGGAAACUGGGAGUAAUACCGGAUAAGCCCUACGGGGGAAAGAUUUAUCGCCAAAGGAUCGGCCCGCGUUGGAUUAGGUAGUUGGUGGGGUAAUGGCCUACCAAGCCGACGAUCCAUAGCUGGUUUGAGAGGAUGAUCCGCCACACUGGGACUGAGACACGGCCCAGACUCCUACGGGAGGCAGCAGUGGGGAAUUUUGGACAAUGGGGGCAACCCUGAUCCAGCCAUGCCGCGUGAGUGAAGAAGGCCUUCGGGUUGUAAAGCUCUUUCAGCCGGGAA